GCCAGCCUCUCCUCCAGCUGGGCUAGGCUGCCCUGUGCCACAGUCUGCUGUGGAAUGCCAUCAAAGAACAUGACCAAAUUCUUCUGGAGAGCCUCAGAAGAAAUGGAGUGUUUUGCUUCACACUCCCAGUGUCUCCACUUUGCAGUUGGGGAAUGGAACAUGGAAAGAGAGCCUUGCCCAGGGUCAUGCAGGAAAUGCUUUGGGAAUGAUAGCAUCCUGCACAUCUUAGCUGUACAGCAGCCUUCUCCUGUGUAUUUGCUUCACAGGGCAAUAACAGGCAGUCUCUUCCAAGUUCUUCAGAACCACAGCACAGUGAAGCUCCCAAGAGGUCUGCAGUGACCAGACAACCCAUAAUGCCAGACAGGAGUGAGCCCAGACGGAGCACUGCCACCACUGCAGGGCAAACACCACCCACUGAAAAGCUGCUGAGGCAAUAAAAACCUUACCGAACCCUC
This is a long non-coding RNA of Serinus canaria (Common canary), 455 nucleotides long. RefSeq lists it as uncharacterized. The record is from RefSeq and is a predicted model, not a curated record. The transcript is spliced from 2 exons. Lineage: Eukaryota; Metazoa; Chordata; Aves; Passeriformes; Fringillidae.